UUUAGGCUGUUGAAUAUUGUGUCGUGGAGAGGAUAAACACAGUUACUCAGAUCUUACGAAUUGUGGGUUUCAUCUGUAAUUGGUGAUACAGUUGUGUAUAGUUCAAAAAACUAGUGUUGAUGACAAGUUUGGGGAUGAGAUUGUUGAGAACUGGACGGUUAAGAUGAACCUUCAAAAGGGAAAAGGCAAACCCAAAAUGAGUGGAAGUAGUAGAAGAGAUGCAGCAAAGCCAUGGAUCAUGAGGUACCUGGCUCAGUGGGAACCAGUGCCAGCUUCUCUUUGAGAUUGGGUCAGGCUAUUUUUUCCUCUGCUUCACUUCUCUUCAUGUCUUUGGGGGUUGAGUUCUACAACUACACUGCUUUCUGGAUUUCAUGUCCAACAUGAAUAUUCCCGUCAUAAAGGUUCGCCUAGACAUAAGUGGUUGUGAAUCACUGAUAGAGGUUCGGGUAUGAGCCUAUUUUGAGGCUGUUGCAGGCUAUCUUCAUCUACUAUUUACUCAUCAAUCUAUAAGUUCAUAUAUUC
Molecule: long non-coding RNA, 522 nt
Organism: Rosa chinensis
Lineage: Eukaryota; Viridiplantae; Streptophyta; Magnoliopsida; Rosales; Rosaceae
Exons: 3
Source: RefSeq, a predicted model, not a curated record